Molecule: long non-coding RNA, 328 nt
Filed under: Daphnia pulicaria
Lineage: Eukaryota; Metazoa; Arthropoda; Branchiopoda; Diplostraca; Daphniidae
Description: uncharacterized LOC124326821
Source: RNAcentral
GUUUUACUUGAAAGUUUAGAAGAAGAGACGAAUGUUUAAGAUUACAAAGAAAACGGAACAAUCGCUUUAUUGGAAAAGUUUUUGUACGUAGAGUCGUAGAUCUACGCGAAAAAUAGCACAGCAAAUAAAAUUACGAAAAUGUAGAAAGUAGAAGUUUGGUGUCGCGGCCCUCAUGUCAUGUCCUCCACUCCAUGCUGUUUAGCAGAUUUGAGGCCUGAGCUAGUCGUCACUACCACAAAAUAUGCAAGUGUUGCUUGUGCUGGAAUUGAUCUGCCUCCAGCAACAAUCUCAUGAAAUCGCUGUAUAAGAUAAACAACAUCCCGUUGGA